UCUCCACCCGAGACUCAGUGAAAUUGAACUCGCUGUGAAGAUGCAGUGUACCCGCGGCAAGACGGAAAGACCCCGUGAACCUUUACUAUAGCUUGACACUGAACAUUGAGCCUUGAUGUGUAGGAUAGGUGGGAGGCUUUGAAGUGUGGACGCCAGUCUGCAUGGAGCCGACCUUGAAAUACCACCCUUUAAUGUUUGAUGUUCUAACGUUGACCCGUAAUCCGGGUUGCGGACAGUGUCUGGUGGGUAGUUUGACUGGGGCGGUCUCCUCCUAAAGAGUAACGGAGGAGCACGAAGGUUGGCUAAUCCUGGUCGGACAUCAGGAGGUUAGUGCAAUGGCAUAAGCCAGCUUGACUGCGAGCGUGACGGCGCGAGCAGGUGCGAAAGCAGGUCAUAGUGAUCCGGUGGUUCUGAAUGGAAGGGCCAUCGCUCAACGGAUAAAAGGUACUCCGGGGAUAACAGGCUGAUACCGCCCAAGAGUUCAUAUCGACGGCGGUGUUUGGCACCUCGAUGUCGGCUCAUCACAUCCUGGGGCUGAAGUAGGUCCCAAGGGUAUGGCUGUUCGCCAUUUAAAGUGGUACGCGAGCUGGGUUUAGAACGUCGUGAGACAGUUCGGUCCCUAUCUGCCGUGGGCGCUGGAGAACUGAGGGGGGCUGCUCCUAGUACGAGAGGACCGGAGUGGACGCAUCACUGGUGUUCGGGUUGUCAUGCCAAUGGCACUGCCCGGUAGCUAAAUGCGGAAGAGAUAAGUGCUGAAAGCAUCUAAGCACGAAACUUGCCCCGAGAUGAGUUCUCCCUGACUCCUUGAGAGUCCUGAAGGAACGUUGAAGACGACGACGUUGAUAGGCCGGGUGUGUAAGCGCAGCGAUGCGUUGAGCUAACCGGUACUAAUGAACCGUGAGG
RNAcentral lists this ribosomal RNA (903 nucleotides) under Escherichia coli. RNAcentral's name for it is "partial 23S ribosomal RNA". It matches the Rfam family "Bacterial large subunit ribosomal RNA", at positions 2019 to 2916 of the family's 2925-position model. The record is from RNAcentral. Lineage: Bacteria; Pseudomonadati; Pseudomonadota; Gammaproteobacteria; Enterobacterales; Enterobacteriaceae.